This is a long non-coding RNA of Telopea speciosissima, 95 nucleotides long. RefSeq lists it as uncharacterized. The record is from RefSeq and is a predicted model, not a curated record. Lineage: Eukaryota; Viridiplantae; Streptophyta; Magnoliopsida; Proteales; Proteaceae. The transcript has 2 exons.
AAAAUCCCCUUGGAUUGUGACCCUAGAUGCUCUGGAGCCUUUUUGCUUGUGAUGCUCCCAAAUAGAAACCUCACCCAUUGACAUAUCUGACUGAA